AAACAAGUUAGGAUUUUUUUAUCCCCACUAGUCACCUUUGAAGGCUGUUCCAGUACGUCACUCCUCUGAUGGUUAUAAAUCUUCAUCUAAUUUCAAGCCUAAAUUUGCUGAUGGCCAGUUUAUGUCCAUUUGUUCUUGUGUUUGCAUUGUUCCUGACCUUAAA
Molecule: long non-coding RNA, 163 nt
Organism: Dermochelys coriacea (leatherback sea turtle)
Lineage: Eukaryota; Metazoa; Chordata; Testudines; Dermochelyidae
Exons: 4
Source: RefSeq, a predicted model, not a curated record